Molecule: long non-coding RNA, 509 nt
Organism: Ornithorhynchus anatinus (platypus)
Lineage: Eukaryota; Metazoa; Chordata; Mammalia; Monotremata; Ornithorhynchidae
Exons: 2
Source: RefSeq, a predicted model, not a curated record
CCACCGACACACACCCUUUCUUGAGGGCUCAGGGGGAGUGGCUAAAGUGCCACUUCACAGCAAGCUCCUUAGUCCUCAUUGCGCCACACACAACCUGCUGCUUAGAAUCGCUCCCUGGCCCUUCCACCUCUCCGAUUGCCAGAUAAUUUCACACAAGGGAGACUGAACACAAAGCAGCAUUCCUGGAAGGGAGCAGCUACUCGGUCUUCAGAAGGAGCGGUCUUUUCCCACUUCUGACACAGGUCAUCACACGCACGACUUUAACGCAGAGCAACAGCCAAGUCUCCAAAUUAGUCAGCUAUAAAGUAACCAGAAUGCCUGUAUUUAACACACAGCGAGGAUCUAUUACAGCAGCAGGGGAUGCCAACACAAUACUUGAAUCACAGAAAAGCACACCACAAUCAGGAUACAGAAAACACCACUAGAAACUCAUUAUGGAAAAAGACUGGAAGCUAAAGCUCUAAAAAGACUCAGCGAUUAAAACCAUGAUUCUACUUGACCCUCAAAAA